This is a long non-coding RNA of Esox lucius (northern pike), 1312 nucleotides long. The record is from Ensembl. NCBI's taxonomy places the organism in Eukaryota, Metazoa, Chordata, Actinopteri, Esociformes, Esocidae.
CGAUCGCCCAGCCGCCACCUUCAACAGCUUUUUGCACUGCCUUGGACUUGACGCACAGGACCAAAUGUCAGACAGACCUUGGUAAAGACGAAAGGAGCAAGGGGAGCGGGUGGAAGAGGGAGGUCUGUCUGUAACUAGACUGCGCAGAGCCUUACAGGACGUCCCAUUAGGGUUCUGUUGCAGAUGUUACUGAAAUAUAAAACCACAGCUAACACUAUGACUGGGCAUGUGACUCAACUCCAUCCAAGAUCGGACAUCGUAAUAGGCGCAGUAGUGACUGAGGCAACGGUGAAAACAGGAUGUUCCGAUGAUGCCACAGGCCCGUGUUCUGCUCUUCCUCAUAUGGAACUGAAUCACGGAAACUGGAUUCUUCGGAAGAUGUUGUGUAUUACUGUGUGACAGUGUUACACAAAAGACAUGUCGCAGUGUCAUGGGAGGUCUUCUCAGUGGGCAGGUCCAGAAACCUUUUUUUUUUUGUGUGGUUGUGUGUGUACAUUACUCAAAGUGAUAUGCACAGAAUGAGAGACAGAGAAAGAAAAAGAAAGGGAGUAGGAAAGUCAGAAAGAAUAGACACGAUGAGAGACCAAGACAAAGUAAAGCUAGUUAUCAUGCUGUAAUGACUGUACUCAGGCAGACAGUGAGACUCCUACAGAUGCCCGAGAGCAGACACCAGUUGCGUCCUAAAUUACACCUUAUUCCCUUUGUGGAGCAGCACUUUUAACUAGGAUCCAUAUGGAUCAUCAGCUGUAGUUCACUGUAUUUGGAAUAGGGUGUCAUUUGGGACUCAGCCAUACUUCAGGCUUUUCUAUAUAUCAGCCAUUACUAUCAGCCAUCUUCACCCAUCCAUGGCUUUUAACAGGCAAAAUGAUUGUUUUUUAUUGCCUUUAGACGCCUGCUGUGGAACCUGCUUCACCCUACUUGUAGAUCUGGGAAAGAGAUGGGAUCGAUCUCAGACAGGUGACCCUGGUGACCAGAUCUUAGGGGUCAAGUUAUGCUUCAUCAGUGGGAAGUGCCACUCCAAGACCAAGAUCCAAGAAGAAUCUAGAGGUAAAUCACUUUAUUUCUAGCCCUGGUCUGGGUCAAUAUUAUUGCUGUGUGUGGCAAAGAGUAAGCCUAAAUUUCAUGGUUUCUUUGGCAAGUACAGACUGUGUAGCGAGUUUCCUAAACUAAGUGUCAUGACACAAUGUGGGGGUCACCUGGCUUGAAUAUGGGGUUGCAAGAGAAAUUCUGUUAGCCACUAAAUGUGAUUGUAUUAAAUAAAGUGGGUUUUUGUUUUCUUCUAACAAAUAGAACAUGUCUCUGACUUUCUAUA